This is a long non-coding RNA of Taeniopygia guttata (zebra finch), 3382 nucleotides long. RefSeq lists it as uncharacterized. NCBI's taxonomy places the organism in Eukaryota, Metazoa, Chordata, Aves, Passeriformes, Estrildidae. The record is from RefSeq and is a predicted model, not a curated record.
CACAUUGAAGUCAGAGAAGUCCAGAAGUAGUCAGAGAAAAUAUAUCAUGUAGCAGAGAAGAGCAACUGGGCCAAAUCCUUUUGACAUACAUAUGACUUGCUCCACUUAUAUCCUGGCAAAAAUUCCCUUCCUGAAAGCAGUGAUCUCAUGGCUUCUUAUUGGAGGUAUUUGAAGACUGUUUAAACCAAUGUGGAAAUAAAAAGACAUUGUUGUACAUUAGCUGAGUGAAGAUGCAGAAGAAAGUGAACAGAGGAUUUGGGACCAGAAAAAGUUCUUUUUCUGUUGCUGGAGAUUCUACCACAACAGUGAGUGAAGAUAUGGGAGAUCACCAAAAAGCCCUGCAGCAACAAGGAUAACAGCAAAGAGGAGAAGUAAACAUUGUUCAUAAAGACAUACAAGAAAGUUUAAUUGACAAACUGCAUGUCAGAUAUAUAUAGGAAUGCUGUAUACAUUUUUUCUAUGUAUUCCUGAUUUUCUAUAAGAACCAAGGAAAAUAUGCUAGAGUGAGGCUGGAUGUUUCUAGAAGUUAUGUCAGCCAUUGUCAUUCUUUUCCAGUUGUUAUAACUGUUCUCUUCUAAACCAAAAGGUGGAUAUUAAAUGUCCCAUAUUUUUCCUUUGGGAAAAAGGACUUUAAAAUGGGCAUGGUCUAUGAGAGAGGCUCACAUUCUGUCCUGGGAAGACGUUGAGUCUGAAAUGGAACUCAGUGGUUUGUUUCUUGCUUUGCUUGUGUGUUUUAUUUUCAUACAGCAGUGGAAAAAAAAUCUGUAUCACAGGACCCUCAGUUCUAGCAGGGUGACAUGUGUAUUACACUUUUCUUUCAUUAAAAAAAAAAAAAAAGGAAGAAAAAAAAUAUUUUAUUUUAAAUACCCAAAAAUUAUCACAGUUAGAUUAAAGAAAUAUCCUUUCCUUAUGUGUUUCUUAUACUCAUCACAUAACAAAAUUAACACAUCUCAAAUUUACCUUAUUGUCUACAUAUCACAUUUUCAUUUAAAUUUUACUUUAUUAAUUGGCCAUGAAAAAAAUUGUAAAUGUCAUGCAGGAAGUAACAUAAAUAACUUAAGCUGGAAAAGCAGAUUUUGAAAACUUUAGAAAAUUCACAAUUUAUAAAAACAUCAGCCACUUUCAGCCAUCAAGGGAGACAUAAAUUAUAAUUUUGUUUGCCAUGUGCAAUUGAUAAUGAAUAUGUGUAGAUCCUGAUUCACAAGGAUUUUUGUAACUGCUCAGCAAUAUAUUUGCUUCAUUCCUUAUGUCCCUAUAAACAGAAAAUGUAAUUGAGGGCUCUAGUUGUAUUUAAAGCUAUGUCCUUUCUAAGAGGGGGCUGUUAAAUCUCUUGAUUUCUUUUUUAACCUAGGGCCAUACAAAAAGUGAAAAAUAUUAAAGAUUAUUAAUUAUACAGGAAUCACAUUUUUCCCAGGAAUUCUCUGAGUUGCAGAUGCUUGGAAGCUGGGAACAAAAUGUUCUUAUCACCCUCUCUGAGCUUUAGGUUGCUGCUGGAGAUGGGAUGCUAGAGCAGAAGUCGCUGUGUUUUGACUACCUUUAUACAUUCUUAACCCUCUUUCAUGCUUGUAAUGCUGAACUAAUUUCAGCCACUACCCUUCAGUAUGUGCUAAGGAUACAAUGAGGGAAUUCUGUCUUUUUUGCCAGUAGCUGAUUCACAAGUUGAUCAAGAAGGUGCAGAGAUACUGUGAGACAAUUUAUUUUUAAAUGGAGUUUUUAAACAUGUAACACUUACAAGAAUUGAUAAUAAAAUAAGAUUUAUAAUUCUUUUUUUCAUAAUUCAAACUUCCUCCCUUUAUUAGCUCACUGGUUCAAGGUUUUAUAUUAGAAAAAGAUCUCUGGUAUUAUUCCAUGCAUUGUGAAACGGCAUGCUGACUUUCUGUAAAACUCCAUCUGCUUUUCUUAUGCCAGCAUCUUCACAAUGCCACAGUGUAUGAAAUGGCUGCAUUGAAAAUGUUGAUGUGAACAACAGAAAUGGAAAGUGCAUAAUUAUUGAUUUUAAAGUGCUCUCACAGCCAAAUGUACUUCUUUGGUUACACUGAAGUACUUGAAAGUAUGGCAAUACAACAGUGUACUGAUAAAAGCUUGUCUCAUUUAGAUAAGCUUUAGAGAUAAGAUCUUUCUCUUUUUUCCCUCUGACAAGCCAUUAGAAAUAUAGCUCUUUUAAGGAUGAAGUAUGGUUUCAGCACUGGCCAAAAUACCUAUAAGCUCCAGACUACCUUUUCAGCCCACAGUAAUGACUGUGCCUAAAAAUCAAGUCAAACAAUGUUAGGAAUCACUGGGGAAACUGGGAUUCUAUCUUUCCUCUAUCUAUUCCUAAAUCUGUAGAAAAAGCAAAUGACGCUUAAUUGGUGCUUUAGAUAAUUUCUGUGCUAACAGCUUGGUAGUGUAACAUGGAUAUUAAUGAAAAUCAAACCAGAAACUAGUUUCUGCUGCUCUUUCUAAUUCUACCAUAAACUCUUUCAUAUGUGUUCACUGUAUUAUACUACCCAGCAGGUGGGAUGCAUCUGGCUGUUCUAAAAGUCAUGGUGACAAUAAAAUAUCAUCACAUGAUGCUAGUUUUAAAAUUUAAAUUUCAGAAUGUCAGUACAGUAUCUUUUCUUUCUCAUGAGGAAAUUUUAGUUUCUUUUGGGGUAGUUAAAAUGGACAUUUAUCCCACACAUAUCUUUCCGAUCACUUAUUGAUAGUAUUUUGCUUUCAGGCACCUUCUGAAUAGCACUUUUAAAGUUUUCUUUCUUGCCUCUUAUAGAUCACACAAGAUGCCUUCAUUUUUCAUUAUUUGUCCCUAUUGACUGAGACAGAGAAAACUCAGCUACUUCCAUUAUCUAAACAAAUUAUUUAUUUCAUCUUUACAUACACAAAGAACUUCAGAGGCCUCUCUGAAGAAGUAAACCUGUAAAUUAGUCACUUGAAAGUGAGUCAAAAUAAGGUGAUGGAUGAUUAUUGUGGCUGCAGUUCAGAAUGUUUGAGAAUGCUAAUUUAUGACCUUUCCAUAAUAAUACUAGAAUAAUUCCUGAUCUUAAAUAUACACCUAUGAUAUAUGCUAUAUACCAAUGUUCCCACACAUUCCUCUUCACAUUUUACACAUGGAAAGAGAAGAUUUACAGAUUUGUGCAGGACUGAUUUUCUCAAAGUCACCAAGACUAAUUAGGGGAAAGCCAUGAAAACUAACCUUAAAUCUGGUUGCAAAUAACUGAGCUGUUCAUCUUUGGAGAUGAGUGGUGCCUAAAAGAGUGGAAAAAAAUAGUCUUUCCUAAUUUCCUUUUUAAGGUAAUAAAUAGUAUUAAUCUUUUAUGUGGAUCAGUUUUGCAAACUGAUUGUAAACAGUGAUAGAAAGACAUGGAAAUAAUUUUCACAAUGCUGAAUUAAAUCUUGUUUAAUACCA